RNAcentral lists this transfer RNA (73 nucleotides) under Nippostrongylus brasiliensis. It matches the Rfam family "tRNA". Rfam says of the family: Transfer RNA (tRNA) molecules are approximately 80 nucleotides in length. Their secondary structure includes four short double-helical elements and three loops (D, anti-codon, and T loops). Lineage: Eukaryota; Metazoa; Nematoda; Chromadorea; Rhabditida; Heligmosomidae. The record is from Rfam by way of RNAcentral.
GUCUCGGUAGCGUAGUGGUUAACGCAAGAGCCCCGGACAGACGCAAGACGCGGGUUCGAGUCCUGCUCGAGCA